RNAcentral lists this long non-coding RNA (215 nucleotides) under Mytilus galloprovincialis (Mediterranean mussel). The record is from RNAcentral. Lineage: Eukaryota; Metazoa; Mollusca; Bivalvia; Mytilida; Mytilidae.
UGUGUGUUGCAUUUUAACGUUGAGUCGUUUGUGUUUUCUCUUAUUUUUAAGAUAUUGAGAUAAGACGUAGCACGGUACUUGUCUAUCCCAAAUUCAUGUAUUUGGUUUUUAUGUUAUGCUUGUUAUUCUCGUGGUGUUUUGUCUGAAGCUUGGUCCGUUUCUGUGUGUGUUACGUUUCGGUGUUAUGUCGUUGUUCUCCUCUUAUAUUUAAUGCG